This 497-nucleotide ribosomal RNA is filed under the name uncultured bacterium. RNAcentral describes it as "partial 16S ribosomal RNA". It matches the Rfam family "Bacterial small subunit ribosomal RNA", at positions 28 to 507 of the family's 1533-position model. The record is from RNAcentral.
GAUGAACGCUGGCGGCGUGUCUAAUACAUGCAAGUCGAGCGAACAGACGAGGAGCUUGCUCCUCUGACGUUAGCGGCGGACGGGUGAGUAACACGUGGAUAACCUACCUAUAAGACUGGGAUAACUUCGGGAAACCGGAGCUAAUACCGGAUAAUAUAUUGAACCGCAUGGUUCAAUAGUGAAAGACGGUUUUGCUGUCACUUAUAGAUGGAUCCGCGCCGCAUUAGCUAGUUGGUAAGGUAACGGCUUACCAAGGCGACGAUGCGUAGCCGACCUGAGAGGGUGAUCGGCCACACUGGAACUGAGACACGGUCCAGACUCCUACGGGAGGCAGCAGUAGGGAAUCUUCCGCAAUGGGCGAAAGCUUGACGGAGCAACGCCGCGUGAGUGAUGAAGGUCUUCGGAUCGUAAAACUCUGUUAUUAGGGAAGAACAAAUGUGUAAGUAACUAUGCACGUCUUGACGGUACCUAAUCAGAAAGCCACGGCUAACUACGUG